AACGAACGCUGGCGGCAUGCCUAACACAUGCAAGUCGAACGAAGUCUUCGGACUUAGUGGCGCACGGGUGCGUAACGCGUGGGAAUCUGCCCUUGGGUGCGGAAUAACUUCUCGAAAGGGAUGCUAAUACCGCAUAAUGUCGUAAGACCAAAGAUUUAUCGCCCAAGGAUGAGCCCGCGUAAGAUUAGCUAGUUGGUGGGGUAAAAGCCUACCAAGGCAACGAUCAGUAGCUGGUCUGAGAGGACGACCAGCCACACUGGAACUGAGACACGGUCCAGACUCCUACGGGAGGCAGCAGUGGGGAAUUUUGGACAAUGGGCGCAAGCCUGAUCCAGCAAUGCCGCGUGAGUGAAGAAGGCC
RNAcentral lists this ribosomal RNA (360 nucleotides) under uncultured bacterium. Its description in RNAcentral is "bacterial SSU rRNA". It matches the Rfam family "Bacterial small subunit ribosomal RNA", at positions 29 to 416 of the family's 1533-position model. The record is from RNAcentral.